RNAcentral lists this long non-coding RNA (243 nucleotides) under Gossypium barbadense (sea-island cotton). RNAcentral describes it as "long non-coding RNA (GBAR_LNC004438)". The record is from RNAcentral. Lineage: Eukaryota; Viridiplantae; Streptophyta; Magnoliopsida; Malvales; Malvaceae.
CCGGACAUAAUCUCCACACGAAGUUAUCGGGUCUUACCCGGACAAAAUUCCCACACGUAGUCAUCGGGCCUUUAGAGCUCAGAUAUAGUACGAGCACAAAGCUUACGGACAUUAAUCAGUGAUAAUAUUCUCGCAUAAAGCCUGCGGGGUUUUAACCCGGAUAUAGUACUGACACAAAUGCCCUUCGGGACUUAUCACAUUUAUGCACUUUCACAUCCAUCACGUUGGCCACUCGGCCCUGUC